GUGCCUAACACAUGCAAGUCGAGCGAUUCUCUUCGGAGAAGAGCGGCGGACGGGUGAGUAACGCGUGGGUAACCUGCCCUGUACACACGGAUAACAUACCGAAAGGUAUGCUAAUACGAGAUAAUAUACUUUUAUCGCAUGGUAGAAGUAUCAAAGCUCCGGCGGUACAGGAUGGACCCGCGUCUGAUUAGCUAGUUGGUAAGGUAACGGCUUACCAAGGCGACGAUCAGUAGCCGACCUGAGAGGGUGAUCGGCCACAUUGGAACUGAGACACGGUCCAAACUCCUACGGGAGGCAGCAGUGGGGAAUAUUGCACAAUGGGCGAAAGCCUGAUGCAGCAACGCCGCGUGAGCGAUGAAGGCCUUCGGGUCGUAAAGCUCUGUCCUCAAGGAAGAUAAUGACGGUACUUGAGGAGGAAGCCCCGGCUAACUACGUGCCAGCAGCCGCGGUAAUACGUAGGGGGCUAGCGUUAUCCGGAAUUACUGGGCGUAAAGGGUGCGUAGGUGGUUUCUUAAGUCAGAGGUGAAAGGCUACGGCUCAACCGUAGUAAGCCUUUGAAACUGGGAAACUUGAGUGCAGGAGAGGAGAGUGGAAUUCCUAGUGUAGCGGUGAAAUGCGUAGAUAUUAGGAGGAACACCAGUUGCGAAGGCGGCUCUCUGGACUGUAACUGACACUGAGGCACGAAAGCGUGGGGAGCAAACAGGAUUAGAUACCCUGGUAGUCCACGCCGUAAACGAUGAGUACUAGCUGUCGGAGGUUACCUCCUUCGGUGGCGCAGCUAACGCAUUAAGUACUCCGCCUGGGAAGUACGCUCGCAAGAGUGAAACUCGAAGGAAUUGACGGGGACCCGCACAAGUAGCGGAGCAUGUGGUUUAAUUCGAAGCAACGCGAAGAACCUUACCUAAGCUUGACAUCCUUUUGACCGAUGCCUAAUCGCAUCUUUCCCUUCGGGGACAGAAGUGACAGGUGGUGCAUGGUUGUCGUCAGCUCGUGUCGUGAGAUGUUGGGUUAAGUCCCGCAACGAGCGCAACCCUUGCCUUUAGUUGCCAGCAUUAAGUUGGGCACUCUAGAGGGACUGCCAGGGAUAACCUGGAGGAAGGUGGGGAUGACGUCAAAUCAUCAUGCCCCUUAUGCUUAGGGCUACACACGUGCUACAAUGGGUGGUACAGAGGGCAGCCAAGUCGUGAGGCGGAGCUAAUCCCUUAAAGCCAUUCUCAGUUCGGAUUGUAGGCUGAAACUCGCCUACAUGAAGCUGGAGUUACUAGUAAUCGCAGAUCAGAAUGCUGCGGUGAAUGCGUUCCCGGGUCUUGUACACACCGCCCGUCACACCACGGGAGUUGGGGGCGCCCGAAGCCGGAUUGCUAACCUUUUGGAAGCGUCCGUCGAAGGUGAAAUCAAUAACUGGGGUGAAGUCGU
This 1416-nucleotide ribosomal RNA is filed under the name uncultured organism. RNAcentral describes it as "SSU rRNA". It matches the Rfam family "Bacterial small subunit ribosomal RNA". The record is from RNAcentral.